GACUGUUCCUCAGCUUGCAGUCAUUACCUUUGUGGGAAUUCUUGGAGGUGUUUACAUCUGGAAGCCUCUGCUUAUCAAGUUCAAGACUGAAACGUCCAGUAGUGUAAUUGCAGAGUCUUCUAAGUGAAUCAAUAGCUACUGAUAUAACUGUUUGUAUUUACCAGUAUCAAGAAGUGCUAACAUCCAAGGAUGUCAUCAGUUAAAUUCCUCUCUGACAGGUGCCUUAGUAACUACUGCUUCCUUUGUCAUUGGGUACAAGUGGUUUGUCGGCCCAAUUCUGCACAGGAAUAAGCAAAUGAGGUAAAAAAGAAAUUGCUGAUGUUAUAUAUGAAUUUAGGUAUGGCCAUCAGAACCAAGAACAGGCAGUUUUUCCCUCUCCUUCAUCUACUGAGACAGUGAAGCAUGAUGCAGAAACUUAGAAGUCUAUGUAAAAAGUUUGUAAAUAUUUUAAAACUUAAAAUAAAAUAAA
Molecule: long non-coding RNA, 469 nt
Organism: Homarus americanus (American lobster)
Lineage: Eukaryota; Metazoa; Arthropoda; Malacostraca; Decapoda; Nephropidae
Exons: 2
Source: RefSeq, a predicted model, not a curated record